AACUGCGAGUGAAGCGGGAAAAGCUCAAAUUUAAAAUCUAAUGGUCCUUGGCCAUUCGAGUUGUAAUUUAGAGAAGCGUCUUCCGCGCCAGACCAUGUACAAGUCUCCUGGAACGGAGCGUCAUAGAGGGUGAGAAUCCCGUCUUUGACAUGGACCCUUGGUGCUUCUGUGAUGCGCUCUCAAAGAGUCGAGUUGUUUGGGAAUGCAGCUCAAAAUGGGUGGUGAACUCCAUCUAAGGCUAAAUAUUGGCGAGAGACCGAUAGCGAACAAGUACCGUGAGGGAAAGAUGAAAAGCACUUUGGAAAGAGAGUGAAACAGUACGUGAAAUUGUUGAAAGGGAAACACUUGAAGUCAGUCGCGUCGAUCGAGACUCAGCCUUGCCUCGGCUUGGCGUACUUCUCGACUUGACGGGCCAGCAUCAAUUUCAUCCCUCGGAUAAUGGCAGGGGAAAGGUGGCACCUUCGCGGGUGUGUUAUAGUCUCUUGUCGCAUACGAGGGCUGGGAUUGAGGAACUCAGCACGCACCUCACGGUGUCGGGGCUUCGGCCCACGUUACGUGCUCAGGAUGCCGGCGUAAUGGCUUUAAAUGACCCGUCUUGAAACACGGACCAAGGAGUCUAACAUGCCUGCGAGUGUUCGGGUGGAAAACCCGUGUGCGUAAUGAAAGUAAAAGUUGGGACCUCUGUCGUGGAGGGCACCGACGCCCGGACCAGACCUUCUGUGACGGAUCUGCGGUAGAGCAUGCAUGUUGGGACCCGAAAGAUGGUGAACUAUGCCUGAAUAGGGUGAAGCCAGAGGAAACUCUGGUGGAGGCUCGUAGCGAUUCUGACGUGCAAAUCGAUCGUCAAAUUUGGGUAUAGGGGCGAAAGACUAAUCGA
RNAcentral lists this ribosomal RNA (877 nucleotides) under Lactifluus volemus. RNAcentral describes it as "eukaryotic LSU rRNA". It matches the Rfam family "Eukaryotic large subunit ribosomal RNA", at positions 85 to 938 of the family's 3401-position model. The record is from RNAcentral. Lineage: Eukaryota; Fungi; Basidiomycota; Agaricomycetes; Russulales; Russulaceae.